GUCCUUUCAAGGAUUGUUCGGCCUUGUUGCUGAAUGAUAACCAAGAAGUCAUCGCAGAAUGUGAGUGCCCCUUCUGCCAUAGAUUGUUCUGUGCCCAAUGUCAUGUUCCAUGGCAUGCCGGGAUCGAUUGUGAGGAGUAUCAGAACCUGACUGAGGAUGAGAGAGGAAGAGAAGACCUCAUGGUGAGGAAGCUUGUCAAAGAGAAUAAAUGGCGCAGGUGUUCCAGUUGCCAUAUCAUAGUAGAAAGAACCGAAGGUUGUCUACAUAUCACUUGCAGGUCAGUCUACGUUUUAUAAUAUAUUCCUUAUCAGAAACUUUGAAUUAUGCUUGGCUGCUUAGAAAUCACUCACAGAAUUUUGUGAUAUUUCUGUUUGAAACUAAUUUCGUUUGAAAUUAACAACGCUCGAUGGGAGGGCAGGAUUGAACUAAAAGUUCCCAAAUUGAUCCGAACCUCAUUACAUCAACCGUUAGCUCUCUGUUAGAGAUUGGUGCAAAGCAAUAGCUAUUAUAAUAACUUUAUCUGGUUAGGCUUCUUGUCUGAUCUUCAAGCUUAUUGGGCAUUGUCUACGCUUGUGGUUGCAGAUGUAAGUUUGAAUUUUGUUAUGCGUGUGGAGCAGAAUGGACUCAGGAUCAUGGUGGCUGUCAGAACAACUAAGUGACCAAAUAAAGCAUGAGAAGGAUAAUGUAACAAUGUGAAAAAGCAGGUUGUAAAGUUGUUUUCAAUCUUUGGAAGUGGCUCGUAGCAUCCAAAAUAGAACGAACACAAUUUGUCCUGAGAAGUUUGGUUAAGGCUACUGUUCUAGACCAAUAAGCAUACAAUGUAAUGAAUGAUUUGUGCAAAAUUUGUUGCUUUCUAAAUGUCAUUUGGCUUUUUUUGUUGCUAUCUGAAAGUAAUUUGAAAGAGAACUGUUUAAAAUCGAGCACUCAAUUUACUACAUUACUUUGAACAAGUGAAAUUCAAGUUAACUUAUGAAAUAUAUCCUGUUUCAGGCUUUCACCUGUAUGCAUCAUUUUAAGACAUUAUCAUGAGAUAAGGUCUGAAUCCACACGUCUUGAUAUACUUACGAGGACAUUUGAAAUUCACCUAAUUACUCCACAUUGUCAGAAAUAAAGGUGAGAACAUCCAGUACUUUGAUGACUCUGAGGAACCUGGAAACUUCUAUGUAGAGGAAACAACAACAAAGGUCAAAAUUCAGGUCAAGGCCACUAGGUUUAGCGUCAUUUUAGAACUUAGCAUUGCCAGGCUUGGGACGUUGACCUACAUCACAGACAAUUUUCUUGCUGAUAUCUUAGAUCAUUAACUAGAUUUUAAUUCUACCUAAUCUCCAAAAUAACCAAAUAAAUCAGCUAUGUUUUUCCAAGCCCUAAUUAAUCCAAAUUCCUCAUGAAUUAUGUCAACCUGACGGCAGCCCAUUCAUUCACUUCAUUCAGAUCGUCUUACGGGCACGAAAAAGAUUUGACUCCUUGCACCAACGCUUGAGUAAUAGUUCUGAUUCUUAAUUGGUCCAUGCUGUUUUACAUCUUGGGCUAAGGGUGUCGAGGUUGUCCUAGACCUUCACAACGGUGAACGGUCUCAUAUGAGUUCAGUUACAAACUUUAGCCCUUUGGGAAUCACACCAUUGUAAGUUCUGUAUAUGGCGCCAAAUGCUCCAAAACUUCCAACCUAUCCGUAAAAAAAAAAAAAAAACCACAUAACCCAGGAAACUGUUAACAGGACCCAGAACCCAGAUGGCUCUCGUCAGAGUCCCCUCUUCUUUCCCUUCCAUUCUCCCUUCAGUCUUUCCGAAGAAACUCUUGUCAGUUUCUUCCUCCUUUCCCAUUUCUUGCUCUUCAAAAUCUACUCCCAAUCAAGUCAAAAAUAAUGAUGAUAACAGUAAUAUUGAUAAUCCCAAGGGACCCAAGAGAUUGUCAGAGCAGUCUUCCUGGCAAGCCAAAGAUUCAGAAGGGAGAGAUUAUCUUUACAGGCUUGGCAAAGAAGCUGAUAACAUGAACAUAGCCGUUGGUGCUAGAGCUGGUGUCAUUGAUGAUCUUUUUGCUGGGAAUUUUCUUGGCAGAGACUGUAAUUUUCCUCCCUCUUGCUUUUCCUGUUCUUCUAUUUGACUUCUGAGAAAUUGUUCAAAGACUUGAAAUUAAUUACCUUUUUUUUUUCUUUUCUUUAUACCGGAUGUUGUGUUUGAUUACAGGCAGAAGGUGACGAGGUCAUUUGAGUAUCUACAAGGGGAUUAUUACAUCGCUCCUGCAUUCAUGGUAAAUAUAUAUGUUUACAAUUCAUUGCAUAUCUUUGGAAAGUUGAGUUAAAGGCUGUUUUUUUUUUUUUUUAUGAUUCAGGAUGAUAAGUUGACUAGAAUGUGAUUAGCGUUAGAAGGUCUUGUUUCUGUUCUAAGCCAAAUGGAAUUAGCACAGUAAAUUGUAAGUGGCCUUUAAGGAUUGUAAAUGAAUUUUGUGGAAUUCUUUCAAUUUUGCUUGAAGUUAGAGAUGCCAAUGUGUUACAUUCUGGACUUGUAGAAUAGGACCAAUAGGUAAAGUAUGAAGAUUGCUACAUGAUUUCAUACUAGUUUCUCUCUUGUUCACGUGCUGCUUGUUAUGUGAUAGAUUUAUUUUUGUUUGCGUACAUACAUAUUUUCAUUCUACAGUUUCUAUUUUUGGUCAAAUAUUCACUUCUGCAGCAAUUGGCAUAUAAUAAUCUUUAAUUCAACUUUACUAUCUGGUUUGAAUUUUCAUUUUCUAGUUCUAAUUUUGCUUUAAAAUAGUUGGGAUCGACAUGUCUAUAUUUACUUUCGCCUAAGCUUCUGAGACUACUGCAUCUGCAUAGUCAUCUACUUUUUUACUCAAAAUGAGGAAAUCACAAUCUUGUUGCUGCUGUUAUCUAUAUGGAUAACUAAUUGUUAUUGCAUUUCCUUUUCUUCCUCCUUUUUGUCUAUUAUGAUUGGUCAGAAGCUAACAUUACAUUGUGUUUGCUUUUCUCAUUGACAGGAUAAAGUUGGUAAGUUCUAUGAAAUUGCACAAGGAUGAGAAAAUUGCGAUGAAUGAUACAGGAGCAGUAAGGAAUCUGGCAGAAAUGAGCGAAUUGUGCAGACCUUUAAUUUUUCUGUUUUUAGAAUAUCCAUGUAGUUAGAUGUUAAUUUUUUGCCAUUAUAUGUUCUAAUAGGAGCAUUAUACUACUAAUGAUGCUCCACUGUCAUCUGUCAUUGUUUACCAUGCCAUAAUCUUAUUAUCUCUGGUGUAUAAUCUUCCACUUGCCAACCUUCUAUGAUUUUGCAACUCAACCGUGAGAUUUUUAUAUAAUGACCUGUGUAAAUUUUGCCACUUACGAAAUAUAUUUAUCGUUUGUCUUCUUGCAUAAUAACUUUUUUCCCUUUUCUAUUACUGCAGUAUGCCACAUCGUGAAGAACUUCCUUGCUCAUCUUCUCAAUGUGAAAAUUCCUUUGAUUCUAGGUCUAUAUUGAAAAUAUCAAGUUGCAUUUUUUUUCCUUUGGUUGGAAAGGGGGGAGAGAGCUAAAAGCUUAGACAUACUUGCUUGUCCUUAAAUUUGUGGUCAGGGUUGGUUCAUUUAUUCAAGUGUUCCUUCUAUAUGACUCCAUCCUUCUCACUGUUAUCUUGAUCAUAAUUUCCAGAAUACUUAUAUUUGAAAAGAAUAUUUCCCAACAUUAACUAUUUUAUUUUUUUUGCCAAACAUUAAAUGUCUUAUGGGUUGCAGAUUCUCUUUCUGACUUGUGUUUCUUACAAAAUCAGUAUUGUCUAACUUAAAACAUUGGCAUUUUGUCUUACAGGUAUCUGGGGAGGAAAAGGACAAGGAAAAUCAUUCCAAACUGAACUCAUUUUUCAGGCUAUGGGGAUUGAACCUGUAAUUAUGUCUGCUGGGGAACUAGAAUCUGAAAGGGCUGGUAAGACAAGUUUCUGCUAGUGUGUUUCCUUCUUCUUUUUUCUUUUUCCUCGUCAAAAUUAUUGUCAAACAUGCUCUUGAUUCUUUUUUCUAAAAAAAAAAAAAACACAUUUUAAACCUGUUAUUUCUUUUUCUCAGGAGAGUUAAUGUUUCAAAGAAAUUCCAUUAUCUCUUCCAACAUGAUUUUCUACAGAAAAAGCAAAAAAAAUUAUACCCAAUAAGUGAUUUUCAUUUUUCUUGCCUACAAGUUAUUCUUUGCUAAGAUAGAUAUGUCGAACUCUAUCUUUCUCCAAGUAUAUCAGGAGAUUCAGUCCAUUUAGUUACUUGAUUUAUUCAAUUAUUCUUUCCUCAACAGGAGAACCAGGAAAACUGAUACGCGAACGCUAUAGAACAGCUUCCCAAGUGGUCCAGAACCAAGUUAGAAGCUUUACCACUCUCAUUCUUGAUAUAUGUAUGUCUGGGUUUAUGAAGUUUAAUAAUGCACUUUUAUACUUAUGGUUCAAUGCGUGUGACAUUAGCCUUUUGAUAGUUUUAUUUAAUGUGUCAAAGAACAUAUUGUUCCUCCAUUUUUUCUUGAAGUACAUUGUGAUCCUCUUGCAUGAUAACAUGGGAUCUUCAUUCCAGUUUUCACUCAUUGAUGGUAUGAAAUAGAGUUGAGAAGAGCAGAGGGCAUGAGGGGACAAGAGAAAAAGUAGGUUUUAUCUUAGCCUAGCUUACUCUUUGUCAGGAAUAAAAUAAGUAUUUAGUCUCUGGAGUUUUCUUCCCCUUAAUAUUUGAAGACUUGUACUUAAGUAGUACAUUGUUACUGACAAAGUCUAUUGAUUUGAAGGAUGGCUUAUUAGCCACUUCAACUAAAGUCAUUUGCACAUGCUUGAAAAAUUUUGUGAAUGAUCUAUCAAAUUAGAUGAAAAUGUCCAAUUGAGAUAGUGAAUUCUAUUUCUUCCCAGAGGAGAGUUGGACAAAAAAAAAAGCCUUAAUAUUUCACCAUUGCAUGGGCUCAUACAGCUACCUAUGCAGCCUUUUGAUUAUUGUAGAUUUGUAGUGCUUCAACAAAACAAGCAGUCAAUGUGGCUUUGUUGCCAGCAGUUCCUAUACAUCUAAGAUUUAAAUCAGGGAGGACAUCUUCCUAGCAAGUUAGAAAUUAGCUUCGAGGUUAAGCCAUUUUAUAAACCAUGGUUCUCGUAGCGACUUGUUAAAUAGCAGGAGAAAGAAGAUUGGGACAGUAAGUAAUUGCUUGUAACAUGGGAACAAGUUCAUCUGAUUUUGAUUUUGCAGAAGAGAUUUACUUGUCAGAAGUCCUUGAUGGAAACGAAGGAGGAGAUUUACAGCAAUUAGAUGCCAAGUUUGCUGAACAGUUGCAGUUUUGUUAUAACGUGUCGGGUCAGGAAACCCAACCGCUAGACGUGGUGAAAAAACAAGUUAGGAGUCGCCAUCAAUCGUCUUUUUUAGGUUUGAUUAGUCACCUAUUAACUUGGUUCUAAUCGAUGAAAUCCUAAAUUAAUUUUUGGUCCGUCGAAAGAACGAUAACUGGUCUACGAUUUUUAGAGAUGGGUUCGUGAGUGCGGUUACGCAUGGCAAAGGGUUAGCACUUCCGUGGCGCCUGUUUCAUGAACAGUAUCAGUUAAUCUUAAGUUAUCCUAUUGUAAACUACCUUUAAUUUUAUUCUUAUAUUUCCUUAAUCUUUACUUAUUAAUUAAUUUUUUAUUAUAUUAGUUGAUUGAAAUUUUUAUUCAGUUUCAUGAAUGCACAUGAUAUAAUCGUAAAAUGAUGCUAUGAUUUGUUCAAUUUUAAAUGAUGAGAUUGGCAAUCUUUUAUCGAGAAAUCGUUCAUAGACCAUUUCAAUGUUUUGGUGAAAUCUCGAAGUUUUCCUCACCUAGAGAUAUCUCGGGAAGAACUCGUCUCUACGAGCUCUUUGAGGAAAUCCCAACAUCAAAAUUCUCAUCUCAUUAACAAGAUAAACGUGACAUGCUAUGACAGGACAAAAUGAUGAUAUCUAUAUGAACGCAUUUAUUAAUUUAGUUGAUUCGUUAUUAAAGCAAUAAUAUGUUUAAUAAUUUAAAGUGAUUUAUUAUCUUGUUCAUAUAUUUAUUAUUUAUUAUUAUAUUUUUUUUAAUGUAUAUUAUUUUUUUAGAGCUUUCUAUUUAAAUCUAUAUUCCUUAAUUAACAUUAUGGAUUAAUAUUUUUUACUUAACUAUAUAUUUUAUGAAAUACACAAUUAAUUAAUUUUUAAUGGUUGAAUUAACUUUAUUUAGUGAUGUUUGUUUAAGCUAAUUAACUAAUUACAUUAAUUUAGAUUUAAAUGCAAUAUUAUGUAAAUUUAUUUUUUUAAUAUAUAUUAUUUUUUAACAACGAUUAUUUGAGUUAAUGAGUAUUAGAGUAUAAAGUUUAGAUUUAUACCGACGCUUCGAUGAAAAUCCGUCUUGAACUCCGCACCUAAGAAAUUUACUCGAAAGAAGUAACUCUUUGUCCUUUUUAAGUGAAAUUCUAUUAUAAGAUGAUCUUAAGAUAAUCGUUAAAUUUUUAUAUUUAUGGUUUUAUAGUAUGUCAUGUUAUUUAUUUAUUUAUUUUUAUUUUUUUAUAUAAAAAAGUUUGUAUUAACAUUUUAUUUCUAUUAUAUACCUAAUUUAUUUUUUUUAUGAUUAAAUAUACGUGUUUUCUGUCUCCUCUAUCUUUCUCAUUUACGCAAGUCUAUUUUAUUUUAUUUUUUCUUUUCAUCCUAUUUAAACCAUUCACAUAUUUUAAGUAAAAUAUUUUUCAAUACACUGAACUAGGUCAAUCCACAAUAUACUUAAUUAAAACUAAAUCCAAAAAAUAGCCCAAAAAAGAAGAAGGACCUUCCCUUGUGUGGGCUCUAUUUGACCCAAGGUGCAGCAAAGCCUUUAGGUGGCCUAAUAGGAGGGCCUGGUGCUAAGAAAAUAUAGUGAGCUUGGUGAAAUUUGGUCCACAAUCUGCAUAUUCCCUCAAACCACCAGCGUUCCUCUCUUGCAACGCACCAUUUGGUGCUAAUACAAUCGUCCGAAGACACCACAAAACGACGCCGUUGUUGGCAUUCAAGCCCUAGGUAUUUAAACCAUUCCUUCCCCUCCCAUAUUUUCUCUCUUUCUCUCUCUACCUUCUCCCUAAGGGGUUUUUUUUUUUCUUUCUUCUUCUUCUUCUUCUUCGUUUUUUCUUUCUUUCUUUCUUGGCCCGCAGCUCUCCUUUCUCUCUUUCUUCUUCCCGGCGUCGCUCUUUUCUCUCUCUUUCCUUCCUCGCCGUUUCUCCCUAUCUCUUUCUUCUUCUCUCUCCUUCCUUCCCUCUGUCCCCCUCGCUGGAGUCCUCUUUCCUCCGCCGACCGGAUCUGGGUCUCCGGGGUCCAGCCCCUCCCUAGAAAACCCAAAUCGAGAAUCCUUCACUAUCCACUGCACCUCUCAUUUUUUGUGUCUCUUUUUUUUUUAUCUAUUUUCUGAUUUUUUUGAUUGUUGUGGAUUGUGGUUAGGGUAGUCUGCUGGUAGUUUAGGAUUUUUUUGGUGGCUGAUUUGUGGUUUUUUGUUGUUUGAAUUUGGUUUUUGUUUUUGAAAGAUUUGAUUUUUUUUAUCGUUUUCUGGUCUUCCCCAGUAUCUCCUAUUGUUGAAUCUGCCGUCAUUUUAAAAGAUCCGAAUUGUUCAAAGUGCAAUCAUGUGAUUUCACAGGUCUCCUGGUCUCUGUUCCUUUCUUUUUUUUGUUCUUUUUUUUUGUAAAAUUUUAAUUUUUAUUAUAUUAUUUAUUUUUUAUUAAUUUUUAUUUUAUAUAUAUAUUUUUAUUUGUGAAUAGGUGUCUACAAGUUUCAAGAUGCAAUAUUUUUUUCAGUCAAAGAAACUGGGUCAUCCUCAACCUCAAGGCCGAUGAAUAUCCGAGCAACCUCAUCGAUGCUCACGCCCAAGGCAAGGAAGUCUGCAACAAAAGCUGGUGAAUCCUCCCUAAGUUUCUGUGAGAUAUGUGCUGAAAGAAAAGAAAGGCGUCAAAUGUUCCCAAUCUCGGGUUGCUCUCACUCGUUUUGUUCUGAUUGCAUUAGCAUGCAUGUAAGGACAAAGCUCGAGGGUAAUAUAUCUAUAAUUAUGUGUCCAGGGGAUUGCAGAGUCAUUUUGGAACUGGAAGCAUGCAGGCCUCUGCUUCCUAAGGAGGUGGUCAAUCUUUGGGAGGAUUUACUAUGUGAAGAACUACUUUGUGCAACGGGUGGACGACUUUACUGUCCUUUCAAGGAUUGUUCGGCCUUGUUGCUGAAUGAUAACCAAGGAGAAGUCAUCGCAGAAUGUGAGUGCCCCUUCUGCCUUAGAUUGUUCUGUGCCCAAUGUCAUGUUCCAUGGCAUCUCGGGAUCGAUUGUGAGGAGUAUCAGAACCUGACUGAGGAUGAGAGAGGAAGAGAAGACCUCAUGGUGAGGAAGCUUGUCAAAUAGAAUAAAUGGCGCAGGUGUCCCAGUUGCCAUAUCAUAGUAGAAAGAACCGAAGGUUGUGUACAAAUGACUUGCAGGUCAGUCUACGUUUUAAAAUAUAUUCCUUAUCAGAAACUUUGAAUUAUGCUUGGUUGCUUAGAAAUCACUUACAGAAAUUUGUGAUAUUUCUGUUUGAAACUAAUUUCGUUUGAAAUUAACAACGCUCGAUGGGAGGGCAGGAUUGAACUAAAAGUUCCCAAAUUGAUCCGAACCUCAUUACAUCAACCGUUAGCUCUCUGUUAGAGAUUGGUGCAAAGCAAUAGCUAUUAUAAUAACUUUAUCUGGGUAGGCUUCUUGUCUGAUCUUCAAGCUUAUUGGGCAUUGUCUACGCUUGUGGUUGCAGAUGUAAGUUUG
This 8685-nucleotide long non-coding RNA is filed under the name Theobroma cacao (cacao). Its description in RNAcentral is "long non-coding RNA (TCAC_LNC004050)". Lineage: Eukaryota; Viridiplantae; Streptophyta; Magnoliopsida; Malvales; Malvaceae. The record is from RNAcentral.